UACAGAGGUCCCGAGCGUUGUUCGGAUUCACUGGGCGUAAAGGGUGUGUAGGAGGUUUGGUAAGUCGGAUGUGAAAUCCCAUCGCCUAACGGUGGAACUGCAUUCGAUACUGCCGAGCUAGAGGAUCGGAGAGGAGAGCGGAAUUCUUGGUGUAGCGGUGAAAUGCGUAGAUAUCGGAAGGAACAUCAGUGGCGAAAGCGACUUCCUGGACCAAUACUGACGCUCAUGUGCGAAAGCGUGGGGAGCAAACAGG
This 253-nucleotide ribosomal RNA is filed under the name uncultured bacterium. RNAcentral's name for it is "partial 16S ribosomal RNA". It matches the Rfam family "Bacterial small subunit ribosomal RNA", at positions 524 to 776 of the family's 1533-position model. The record is from RNAcentral.